RNAcentral lists this long non-coding RNA (3648 nucleotides) under Mytilus galloprovincialis (Mediterranean mussel). The record is from RNAcentral. Lineage: Eukaryota; Metazoa; Mollusca; Bivalvia; Mytilida; Mytilidae.
AGAAGCAACAGAAGUAAAGAAUGAUAGCUUUUUUGUGUAAAACAAAUAAUUACAUAUAAAGUAACAAAAUAGUUCCUCCCUACUUUCACAUUAGGAGUUUUAACAUUUAAAAUAAGUUAAAACAAUGAGUUAAUGUUUUGUGGUCAUCACAACAAGGAGUGAUAAAGAAAAAGGAGUAAUCCUAUAAUUUACGAGUACUGAAUGAAAUGGAAGAAAUUUUUCAAUGCAUAUUAUAACUAAAAUAUGAAAAAGGAAUUGUCACAGAAAUAUUCAUAGGAUGUGAAUAGAAAACAAAUAGUUCCUCUUCAUGUGCCAUGUAACCAAAAAAAGAAAUCGGAGUAUGUCUGUAAAAAAUAAGAAAUAUUGCAUUUCUCAGCACAGUGCAAGAUAAAAAUUUUUACUGAUUCAAAUCUUUCAAAGUGAAUGGGUUUCAAGUGUAUACAUAAACCAUUAUGAACCUCAAUUGUCUUCAUGAUAUCAAAAUUUCUUAAUAAAAAAUUUCAAUUGUUUGUCUUAAAAACACUCAUUAAUUCUCAACUUCAAAAAGCUGGUUAUUUAACAUAUAACAUGAAUAUGACAUGACAUUCUAGGCCAUCUGAACUGCUGCCUGACUAGAAAUUGUAUGUACAAUAUAUUUCAUGAUUAUCAGAUCAUUAAAAUCUAUUUGCUUAAGUACUAAAAUACAAUGUCAGUAACCUACUCUUGACCAACUGAUGAGCCCAGGUAAUUAACAGUAGAUAUUUAAUUACCUCCUCAUCACAAGAUUCUGGUAGAUAACUGACUUUAGUUUUUCAUGAUGUCUAAAAGCUAAUGGAUUAUCGCAUAAAAUUGGUAUAAAAGAUAACCAGAUAAGAAAAUGAAAAAUGUUUCAAUUUGUGUAAAUAUUUCAAUGGUAUUUUGAAGAAUAUGUUUCAUACAGGUUUAGUUCUUUAAUUUUAAUAUAAAUUGUUUUCUGGACUUUUUUUGAUUUUUCCUUUGUAAACAUAUUAAUUAUAUAUAGAUUCAUUAAUCCUUUUGUUCUUUAAUUCAUUUCACUUGAUUAAAUAGACUGGUCUUAAACUUUUUUUAACAAUAGACAAGCAAUAUUUUGUUAACAAAAUAAAAUUGUAAGUUCUAAGGGCUAUUUUUUUUAGUUAAGUGAUAUAUUUUUACAACUAUCAUGUAGACUUUGCAGAAGUUUUAUGUAUUUGACAUUUUACCUUCAAGUUGUAAGUUAAUUGAAUUCAAAAUUAUAUAAACAAAUUUAUAAAUACAUUUCAAAAUAAUAUCCAUGUUGAAUAUUGUUGGUAACAAAUCACUUUGAGUGCAAUACAAUAUUUGUAAACAGUUAUAACUUUAAGUAUUAAUUAAUUACUAUUAAGCUAAAGGACUAUGUAUCUAUUUCAUCUUAUUUAUUACUUACUAUAUGAGCAAUUAUACGUAAAAAUAUUAUUUUUCUAGAUGCUUUGUUUUAUAUUCUCAACUUUAAAACAGAAAUAUGCCAUUUUGUGAAGUUUGAACAAAUGAUGAUGCAAUUUUGCUGACAACUGAAAGAACAACCAUUCAAAAAUUGUAAACUUCAAAAAAAAAUGUAUACCUUUCAAUUAUUGUAUAAACAUUUGGAAAAUCUUUGGUGGUGAUCUCUUAAUGGUAACAAUAGUUGUUAAUGGCAAAAAUAGUAAACAAACAAAAUAUAAAAAAGACAGUAAAGUUUAUAAACAGUUGUAAGUAAAAAGUCUUUCAUCAACAGAUAAUAUUUCCCAAAAUAUAUGUACUGGUAUAUAUCUAACACAAUUAUAACUCAUUAUGAUAUAGAAUAAAGAAUUGAAGGACACUCUAUCCAGACCCACAUACAGAAUAAAGAAUUGAAGGACACCCCCAUCCAGACCCACAUAAAGAAUAACUUAAUUGUAAUGAUCUAUAUGAUAAGGUUGGUGUGUUUGAUAGGAUCAAUGUUAUAUUAAAUUCUUUAAUAAAUACUUCAGGACCAAGUAAAAAAGAAAAAACCAAUAUUGCACCUCAUCAGCAAUAAUAAAAAUAUAUUAAAAUAGAGACUUUAAAUAGCCAUGGAAACAGUCAUGGAUAAAUAUGAACACAGAGUAGAAAGAAUGUGAUCUUUGGCAAUAAAUAAAACAAAGAUGAUAUGUAAUUCAACAACAAAAACACAAUGAGGAAAUUUAUCUAAAUACAAAAAAUGUGUUGACUGUCUUUUAUAAAAAUUGAAUAAAGACAAGAUACUUAUUACCUUACAUUACAGUGAACUAUUUAAAACCAAAACCUGUGUGAACUACAAUCUUGUCUAUACUGAACUCUUUCUCAAGAAGUGUAGUUUAUUUUCUGUAGAAAUUAUACUUGUAUAAACUAAAAUACACAAAUCUCAGGUUUCUCUAACUAUGAAGCAUACUCAAUAUUUUCAAAUUUUCAAUUUCAAAAGUAAAAUGUUGAUAUCCAAAUACCAAAACAGAUUAAUUUGCCAAUGCCAUCAUUUCCAUUAUAGCAAAAAUUGUGGUCCUUUAAGAAUAAACCCUGCUCAAAAUACACUUUAAUCCAACACAUUUAUAAUCCUCACCAAGUCCUCAGUCUUAAAGCGUUUUUUGGUUAUGGACAGGUUUCACUUUUCUUCCCAGGAAUAUGCAAAUGGAUGUUUAUAUAGAAUAUUCUUUUGAUCUCGCUUCUUUCAUUGCUGAGAUUAAUGAGGAAAGCCUAUUAUAAUCAGAUUUCAACAUAUCAUUAUCUUCGAUAGGCAGAGGAUUCACAUCAAUAUUGGAAGACAAUUGCCUCCCUUCAUGUGACAAUUAAUUUAAAGCUUUUGAAUAUAAACGAAUUCCACUUCUAGGAAAUAUAGAACUAUAAGUAAAAUGGUCCUUUAAAAAUGAUAACACUAAAUUUCAAUGUUGAUGAAGAGUAGACACAUAAUUUGUCUUGUGACCCUAAAAAUCAGCUGCACAUAAAUUGUUAAUCAGAACACAGGAAAUCUAAAACUUGUAUUAAAUAAUUAUCUUUGUUUACAAAAAAAUAUUACUACACAAUUGCAUAGUCAAAAUGGACAGGCAUAAAAUUAAAAAUAUCAGAAACUUUAUAAAUGACUUGAAAUCUCAAUGGAUAAGACAGAAUGUUCUUUUAGAUACCAAGCUAAUUUUUCUAUUUAAUUUUUUCUCCCCUCUGCUAUCUAGUUCAAUGAAUUCAACAAUGUUUUAAACUUGCAACAAAAAUCUGAAAGUUACAGUUGUAUGAUUGCGGUGUUGUCAAAACUGCUACUUUAAUUAUCGUUAAUUUAAAUUUAAUUGGUCUUUAACUCUUUUUAUAAGUUAAACAAGUUGAGUAAUAGGACUCGAUGUAUCCUCCUAAAAAAAUUACUUAAUUUAUGAAUUGUUUCUAAACAAUAGUGAAAGUAAGAUAAUGAGAUUGAAAUUUCAAAACUGAGUCAGUCCAAACUCAGCUCUUUAGAAUACCUAUUACGCAAUCAUGAGCAAAACUUACUCUUUCAAUUUUCUCUGGGAAUGAGGAGCGAAAUGCACAUAGGGAUGCACAUAAAUGAGUAUUCAAUGAAUUUUUAAAUGCAGUUUCAAAUUGUUCAAAUCUUAUACAUAUUACGAGCAGAUGUAAGAUAAAGAUUUUAACCCUUUAGAUGAAGACCAAACAGAAGGAAUAUAGAGGUCACAGAAAAAC